This 678-nucleotide ribosomal RNA is filed under the name uncultured beta proteobacterium. RNAcentral describes it as "bacterial SSU rRNA". It matches the Rfam family "Bacterial small subunit ribosomal RNA", at positions 63 to 739 of the family's 1533-position model. The record is from RNAcentral. Lineage: Bacteria; Pseudomonadati; Pseudomonadota; Betaproteobacteria.
CGAACGGUAACAGGUCUUCGGGUGCUGACGAGUGGCGAACGGGUGAGUAAUACAUCGGAACGUGCCCGAUCGUGGGGGAUAACGAAGCGAAAGCUUUGCUAAUACCGCAUAAGAUCUACGGAUGAAAGCAGGGGACCGCAAGGCCUUGCGCGAACGGAGCGGCCGAUGGCAGAUUAGGUGGUUGGUGGGAUAAAAGCUUACCAAGCCGACGAUCUGUAGCUGGUCUGAGAGGACGACCAGCCACACUGGGACUGAGACACGGCCCAGACUCCUACGGGAGGCAGCAGUGGGGAAUUUUGGACAAUGGGCGAAAGCCUGAUCCAGCCAUGCCGCGUGCAGGAUGAAGGCCUUCGGGUCGUAAACUGCUUUUGUACGGAACGAAAAGACUCUGGUUAAUACCUGGGGUCCAUGACGGUACCGUAAGAAUAAGCACCGGCUAACUACGUGCCAGCAGCCGCGGUAAUACGUAGGGUGCAAGCGUUAAUCGGAAUUACUGGGCGUAAAGCGUGCGCAGGCGGUUAUAUAAGACAGAUGUGAAAUCCCCGGGCUCAACCUGGGAACUGCAUUUGUGACUGUAUAGCUAGAGUACGGCAGAGGGGGAUGGAAUUCCGCGUGUAGCAGUGAAAUGCGUAGAUAUGCGGAGGACACCGAUGGCGAAGGCAAUCCCCUGGGCCUGUA